CCUACGGGUGGCAGCAGUGAGGAAUAUUGGUCAAUGGGCGAGAGCCUGAACCAGCCAAGUCGCGUGAGGGAGUACUGCCCUAUGGGUUGUAAACCUCUUUUGUCGGGGAGCAAAAGCCGGACGUGUCCGGCUGUGAGAGUACCCGAAGAAAAAGCAUCGGCUAACUCCGUGCCAGCAGCCGCGGUAAUACGGAGGAUGCGAGCGUUAUCCGGAUUUAUUGGGUUUAAAGGGUGCGCAGGCGGAUUUUUAAGUCAGCGGUCAAAUCGUGGGGCUCAACCCCAUCCAGCCGUUGAAACUGGGGAUCUAGAGUGUGCGAGAGGUAUGCGGAAUGCGUGGUGUAGCGGUGAAAUGCGUAGAGAUCGGGAGGAACACCAGUGGCGAAGGCGGCCUACUGGGCUUUAACUGACGCUGAGGCACGAAAGCAUGGGUAGCAAACAGGAUUAGAUACCCGGGUAGUC
Molecule: ribosomal RNA, 458 nt
Filed under: uncultured bacterium
Lineage: Bacteria
Description: partial 16S ribosomal RNA
Rfam family: Bacterial small subunit ribosomal RNA
Source: RNAcentral